Molecule: ribosomal RNA, 448 nt
Filed under: uncultured bacterium
Lineage: Bacteria
Description: bacterial SSU rRNA
Rfam family: Bacterial small subunit ribosomal RNA
Source: RNAcentral
CCCAGACUCCUACGGGAGGCAGCAGUGGGGAAUAUUGCACAAUGGGGGAAACCCUGAUGCAGCGACGCCGCGUGGAGGAAGAAGGUCUUCGGAUUGUAAACUCCUGUCCUUGGGGACGAUAAUGACGGUACCCAAGGAGGAAGCACCGGCUAACUACGUGCCAGCAGCCGCGGUAAUACGUAGGGAGCGAGCGUUGUCCGGAUUUACUGGGUGUAAAGGGUGCGUAGGCGGCUUGGCAAGUCAGUAGUGAAAUCCAUGGGCUUAACCCAUGAACUGCUAUUGAAACUGUCGAGCUUGAGUGAAGUAGAGGUAGGCGGAAUUCCCGGUGUAGCGGUGAAAUGCGUAGAGAUCGGGAGGAACACCAGUGGCGAAGGCGGCCUACUGGGCUUUAACUGACGCUGAGGCACGAAAGCGUGGGUAGCAAACAGGAUUAGAUACCCUGGUACCA